GUGCCAGCAGCCGCGGUAAUACGUAGGGUGCGAGCGUUGUCCGGAAUUAUUGGGCGUAAAGAGCUUGUAGGCGGUUUGUCGCGUCUGCCGUGAAAACCUAGGGCUUAACUCUGGGCGUGCGGUGGGUACGGGCAGGCUAGAGUGUGGUAGGGGAGACUGGAAUUCCUGGUGUAGCGGUGAAAUGCGCAGAUAUCAGGAGGAACACCGAUGGCGAAGGCAGGUCUCUGGGCCAUAACUGACGCUGAGAAGCGAAAGCAUGGGGAGCGAACAGGAUUAGAUACCCUGGUAGUCC
RNAcentral lists this ribosomal RNA (292 nucleotides) under uncultured microorganism. RNAcentral describes it as "partial 16S ribosomal RNA". It matches the Rfam family "Bacterial small subunit ribosomal RNA", at positions 505 to 796 of the family's 1533-position model. The record is from RNAcentral.